GUGAAUCAUCAAAUUUUUGAACGCAAAUUGCACUCUCCUCGGAGAGUAUGCCUGUUUUAGGUUCAGCCUAUAAAAAAUCGACAUUAUUUCUGUUUCGCGGUGGCGUGCGUCGGAAGUUGGGUCAUCUUAAAUCUGUUUGUUUUAAACUACUUAAAAUUUUGUUUUUUGUUCCAUGAAAUGUUCUAAGAUUUAUGUUUUUACACUUUUAAGGUAUCGAUUUUUAUUACACGUGACCAUCAGAUCGAAUCUCUC
RNAcentral lists this unclassified non-coding RNA (252 nucleotides) under Glomus sp. RNAcentral's name for it is "partial contains 5.8S ribosomal RNA and internal transcribed spacer 2". The stretch from base 1 to 65 matches the Rfam family "5.8S ribosomal RNA", at positions 84 to 154 of the family's 154-position model. Lineage: Eukaryota; Fungi; Glomeromycota; Glomeromycetes; Glomerales; Glomeraceae. The record is from RNAcentral.